Molecule: long non-coding RNA, 1158 nt
Organism: Sinocyclocheilus anshuiensis
Lineage: Eukaryota; Metazoa; Chordata; Actinopteri; Cypriniformes; Cyprinidae
Exons: 3
Source: RefSeq, a predicted model, not a curated record
CAUUGUCAUUAUUAAGAUUAAGGUGUUGUGUGUUUUAUUGACAUGAAAAUAAUGUCACAAUAUUGUAAACGUGCGUUGGUUUAUUUAUAUCUUUACAUUUUAAGAACUGUUUAGUGGAGGAGACUGAAUAUAUACUAAAUGUUUUCUAAAAAGCUCUGCAGCACUGUGCGUGUGCUGACGUUUUGUUCAAAAAACAUGUAUUGCAUAUGGAAACAAAUAUAUGAAGCGAAUCGCAACAGUUAGGGUUCAUGUAAACAGCUUUCUGAAUCAAAUCAGAGUAAAAUCACUGGGAUUGAUGAACAGAGCAUGUAAACAAACCUACUGUGAAACAUGAUAGUACCCUUCAUUUGCUGAAAAGAAAACAAGACGUGGUACGUAUUUCUGCUGCUUUGUGUGUGAAAUAUGAGGCGUCACAUGACCGAUGUGUGUCUGCAGUGUUCAGUCACUAACAUUAUCACUGUCAUUAACCCCGUCAGCUCACAUCUGCCUGUGUGUGUGUGUGUGUGUGUCGUCUCAUCUGUCUGAGGUCCGUGUGUGUUUUGAUCAGAGCAGCUGAUGUUGCAGCGUUUGUAUCGUAUUGCUUGUCAUCUCUCAUCUCAUUUGUGUUUGUGUCCGUCUCUGUGUGUCUGUGUGUGUGUGUGUGUGUGUGUAGCUGCACCUCGUUAGAGAGCGUGAGCUCACAGAACACUAGGGUGGGGAAGAAAGCGGAGUCUAGCAACGACAACUCCCGCUGCUCCAGCCCCUCCGCCCCUGUACAGGGGCCGGUGAUUUACGCCCAGCUCGAUCACUCCGGCAGCAAGAUCUCCUUCCACAAGAUGGAGCCGGUGGUGUACGCAGACAUCCGCAAGAACUAGAGCGCCGUGGCACGUGACUGGUCAGACGGAUGAUUAUUAUUUGUACUGCACAUUCCAUGAGGCCUGUGGUGCUGGUUUGAUUCUGUAGUGCGGUUGCAAAUCCUGCGCUGUGUCUGAUUCAGCCUGCAGCACUAUCGCGUCACAUGAUCAUGUUAACUGGAACAGUGUGGAUGAGAGUGCCUUCAUCGACUAACGCCUGUUACACACUUCUGUGUUUUCUUGUUUUAUUGGCCUUUUGUAUAUGAAAACAGCCGUUUCUGUCUAAUUUUAUACAUGCAUAUAUAUAUAAAUAUAUUAAACUGAA